AUUGAACGCUGGCGGCAUGCUUUACACAUGCAAGUCGGACGGCAGCGGGGGUGCUUGCACCUGCCGGCGAGUGGCGAACGGGUGAGUAACAUAUUGGAAUGUACCGAGUAGUGGGGGAUAACCAAUCGAAAGAUUGGCUAAUACCGCAUACGUCCUGAGGGGGAAAGCAGGGGAUCUUCGGACCUUGCGCUAUUUGAGCAGCCAAUAUCUGAUUAGCUAGUUGGUGGGGUAAAGGCCCACCAAGGCGACGAUCAGUAGCGGGUCUGAGAGGAUGAUCCGCCACACUGGGACUGAGACACGGCCCAGACUCCUACGGGAGGCAGCAGUGGGGAAUUUUGGACAAUGGGGGCAACCCUGAUCCAGCCAUGCCGCGUGUCUGAAGAAGGCCUUCGGGUUGUAAAGGACUUUUGUUAGGGAAGAAAAGGGAAGUGCUAAUACCACUUUUUGCUGACGGUACCUAAAGAAUAAGCACCGGCUAACUACGUGCCAGCAGCCGCGGUAAUACGUAGGGUGCGAGCGUUAAUCGGAAUUACUGGGCGUAAAGCGAGCGCAGACGGUUACUUAAGCAGGAUGUGAAAUCCCCGGGCUUAACCUGGGAACUGCGUUCUGAACUGGGUAGCUAGAGUAUGUCAGAGGGGGGUAGAAUUCCACGUGUAGCAGUGAAAUGCGUAGAGAUGUGGGGGAAUACCGAUGGCGAAGGCAGCCCCCUGGGAUAAUACUGACGUUCAUGCUCGAAAGCGUGGGUAGCAAACAGG
Molecule: ribosomal RNA, 755 nt
Filed under: uncultured Neisseriaceae bacterium
Lineage: Bacteria; Pseudomonadati; Pseudomonadota; Betaproteobacteria; Neisseriales; Neisseriaceae
Description: bacterial SSU rRNA
Rfam family: Bacterial small subunit ribosomal RNA
Source: RNAcentral